RNAcentral lists this non-coding RNA (213 nucleotides) under Lentilactobacillus parafarraginis. RNAcentral's name for it is "Lactobacillus parafarraginis T-box sequence". It matches the Rfam family "T-box leader". From Rfam's summary of the family: Uncharged tRNA acts as the effector for transcription antitermination of genes in the T-box leader family. The record is from RNAcentral. Lineage: Bacteria; Bacillati; Bacillota; Bacilli; Lactobacillales; Lactobacillaceae.
GUGAAAAUGACGAGACGAAUUAGUAACCAAUGAUUUGUUUUCAGAAACUGAGUGGUUGUUGAAAACUCGGAGCAAAUUAUGGUGAACUCAUCGUCGAAUACUUGGUUGAACAGAGUAACCCGAGUCGGUUAAUCGCCGUUAUCGAUCUUGAGAGCCUGGCAUCCACGGUCGAUGCUGGGAAUAUAGGUGGUACCGCGAUUAAUCGUCCUAUAG